Molecule: non-coding RNA, 101 nt
Organism: Mycena leptocephala
Lineage: Eukaryota; Fungi; Basidiomycota; Agaricomycetes; Agaricales; Mycenaceae
Source: the annotation of a GenBank genome assembly
UCUCGACUAGUAUAUCGGUUUAGUACACGCGCCUGUCAUUAUGCCUGUCAUUGGGUAAUGCACCUCCGCGCGAAAGCUGGGUUCGACUCCCAGGUCGAGAG